Molecule: ribosomal RNA, 102 nt
Filed under: Ixodes scapularis (black-legged tick)
Lineage: Eukaryota; Metazoa; Arthropoda; Arachnida; Ixodida; Ixodidae
Description: eukaryotic small subunit ribosomal RNA
Source: RNAcentral
ACUGAAAGCAGCAGCGUGAUUUUAUCCCUGCUGUAAAGACUGGGCAAACCAUGAAACCUCCUUCGUGAUUGGGAUAGGGAAUUGCAAUUGUUCCCCUUGAAC